UGGAUGCUCUUUUGUUUUAGUCUGAGA
This 27-nucleotide non-coding RNA is filed under the name Mus musculus (house mouse). The record is from RNAcentral. Lineage: Eukaryota; Metazoa; Chordata; Mammalia; Rodentia; Muridae.